RNAcentral lists this ribosomal RNA (468 nucleotides) under uncultured bacterium. Its description in RNAcentral is "partial 16S ribosomal RNA". It matches the Rfam family "Bacterial small subunit ribosomal RNA", at positions 28 to 507 of the family's 1533-position model. The record is from RNAcentral.
GACGAACGCUGGCGGCGUGCUUAACACAUGCAAGUCGAACGGAAAGGCCCUGCUUUUGUGGGGUGCUCGAGUGGCGAACGGGUGAGUAACACGUGAGUAACCUGCCCUUGACUUUGGGAUAACUUUAGGAAACUGGGGCUAAUACCGGAUAGGAGCUCCUGCUGCAUGGUGGGGGUUGGAAAGUUUCGGCGGUUGGGGAUGGACUCGCGGCUUAUCAGCUUGUUGGUGGGGUAGUGGCUUACCAAGGCUUUGACGGGUAGCCGGCCUGAGAGGGUGACCGGCCACAUUGGGACUGGGAUACGGCCCAGACUCCUACGGGAGGCAGCAGUGGGGAAUAUUGCACAAUGGGCGGAAGCCUGAUGCAGCAACGCCGCGUGCGGGAUGACGGCCUUCGGGUUGUAAACCGCUUUCGCCUGUGACGAAGCGUGAGUGACGGUAAUGGGUAAAGAAGCACCGGCUAACUACGUG